AACGUAGGGGGCGAGCGUUGUCCGGAAUUACUGGGCGUAAAGGGCGCGUAGGCGGAUCUGUAAGUCAGAGGUGAAAUCCUGCGGCUUAACCGUAGAACUGCCUUUGAUACUGCAGAUCUUGAGUUCGAAAGAGAGUAGCGGAAUUCCUGGUGUAGCAGUGAAAUGCGUAGAGAUCAGGAGGAACACCGAUGGCGAAGGCAGCCCCCUGGGCCUGUACUGACGCUCAUGCACGAAAGCGUGGGGAGCAAACAGG
RNAcentral lists this ribosomal RNA (253 nucleotides) under uncultured microorganism. RNAcentral describes it as "partial 16S ribosomal RNA". It matches the Rfam family "Bacterial small subunit ribosomal RNA", at positions 524 to 776 of the family's 1533-position model. The record is from RNAcentral.